GCCUACGGGGCGCAGCAGUGGGGAAUAUUGCACAAUGGGGGGAACCCUGAUGCAGCGACGCCGCGUGGGUGAAGAAGUCAUUCGUGACGUAAAGCCCUAUCAGCAGGGAAGAAAAUGACGGUACCUGACUAAGAAGCCCCGGCUAACUACGUGCCAGCAGCCGCGGUAAUACGUAGGGGGCAAGCGUUAUCCGGAUUUACUGGGUGUAAAGGGAGCGUAGACGGAAUUGCAAGUCUGAUGUGAAAAUCCGGGGCUCAACCCCGGAACUGCAUUGGAAACUGUAUUUCUAGAGUGUCGGAGAGGCA
This 305-nucleotide ribosomal RNA is filed under the name uncultured bacterium. RNAcentral describes it as "bacterial SSU rRNA". It matches the Rfam family "Bacterial small subunit ribosomal RNA", at positions 337 to 659 of the family's 1533-position model. The record is from RNAcentral.